Molecule: long non-coding RNA, 298 nt
Organism: Homo sapiens (human)
Lineage: Eukaryota; Metazoa; Chordata; Mammalia; Primates; Hominidae
Exons: 3
Source: RefSeq, a predicted model, not a curated record
CUGCUCUUGCACUUCCUGGCUAAGCCAAAAGGAUUAAUGUGUUGUGAAAUGAGGAGUGGUGGUGGGAACAGACUCCCAGUGGGGCAGGAGAGUGCAAUGCUUCGAGUCUCAGAAUUCAAGAUUCAGCAUGUUGAUCUAAAUGGGACGCUGUUUUUAUUGACUUUCAUAUUACAUGAGAGUGGAGGCUGGGAAUGGAACUGUCGCAAAAUACAGAAUUGAAGAAGUCUUCCCAGAUUUUUCUUUUCUAAUUUCUGCAAGAGAGAUCAUGGGAAGAAAAAGUUACAAGGAAUAAGAGAGG